AUGGCCCGAAAGAAGACAAAUGAAUCUACGUCACUGAACAAAGAAUCGCUGACCUCUGGACUAUUGUCAAUGGAUGACAACCUGCCAGAUAUACAAGGAGAAUAUUCUGAAAGAGAUUUGAAUACCAACGAAGGGGAGAAUAAUGCAGGCCCACUCACUGAUGCCUAUUCCACACCAGAGACCCAGCCUAGUUCAUUGAAAGCUUACGGCACUAUCCAACCUUCUGAGGGCACAACUUGCAAUUUGAAUACUGAAGAAAGUACGGAAAAUCCAGUUACAGAUAGUUUGUCUAUUGCCACUCCAGAUGACAAAAUCCAUGGGGAGAGAACAGUGCAAAAACCUGCUCAGGCAUCCAAGUCAGUUCAGGCUAAGUCAUCAAAGUCUGUUCAUGUUGAGUCAUCAAAGUCUGAUCAGGCUGAGUCAUCCAAGUCUGAUCAGACUGAGUCAUCCAAGUCUGGUCAGGAUGAGGCAUCCAAGUCUGUUCAGGAUGAGGCAUCCAAGUCUGUUCAGGAUGAGGCAUCCAAGUCUGUUCAGGAUGAAGCAUCCAAGUCUGUUCAGGAUGAAGCAUCCAAGUCUGUUCAGGAUGAGGCAUCCAAGUCUGUUCAGGAUGAGGCAUCCAAGUCUGUUCAGGAUGAGUCCUCCAAGUGUGUUCAGGAUGAAUCAUCCAAGUCUGUUCAGGAUGAGUCAUCCAAGUCUUUUCAGGAUGAGGCAUCCAAGUCGGUUCAGGAUGAGUCAUCCAAGUCUGUUCCGGAUGAGGCAUCCGGGUCAACACAAGUUGGGUCAUCUAAGUCAGCUCAGUUACACUCAAUUUCUUCCACUAAUUUGGGAGAUGAUACUAAACAACAAGAACGUAAAGGGACAAAGUCCACCAAUCAGAAUAUCCUAAGUGAGAAGACCAAGAAGGAUAACACCAAAAAUAAUAAUAAUAAUAAUAAAGGGGAUCAGAAACAAACCAUGGAUACAAAUACGGAUGAUACUCACCAAUCCAAGAAGCAAGUGAAAAGUGGUCCACCCGACCAACAAGGGAAGCAACAACCGACUGAUAAACAAGGCCCUGCUGCUGAAAAGAAGCAACACACUGGUUCAAGCGUUGACACAGAGGCUAAGGUUGAAGGUUCAGGGACUAAGCUGUCAGCUGCUGAGGGAGGAGACGUACCAGAAUGCCCUGAAAACAUCGAAAAGACCGGAGACAAUCAAGAAUCUGAGGACCGCGUUGAACCUUCACCAAAAAUGUGAACCAGAGUCAUCAGUAGAAGAGAGUCUAAAUUGCAAAACAUAAAUGGAAAAUGUAUCUCCUUGACCAUUUUAUUAACAUUUUGUCUUUUUUACAUUUUAGGAUAAACAAUGCAAACCCAACAGUUGCUGCAAGGGACAGGCUCACAAUCUUCUUUCAUGCGGUUUUGCCAAAGGAAUUUGAACUUGAGAAGGCCGACCGAAUAUUUAUCAGAGCUGGCAAACAUCUUGGGACAUGGAACGAGGACUUGGUUGAGGUUUUUACGACCAAGUAAGUACUUAUGCUGUACUUUAUUGCUCCUAAAUCUAUGAUAUGAAACUUUAUUUAUUGAUAUUCGUCAUUGACUCAGAGUCUGUACCAAGCCUUAACGGAUUCUUUUGUGUGCUAUGUUUUUUUUUUAUUACAGUGAUCAUGGGAAGUUUGGACAUUUAGUUGGGGGAAAAUUUGUGACCACAAAAAAAAACACCCUGGAUAACAGCAUACCAUACAAAUAUGUUGUCUACAAGGCCAAAAAGAAAAAAUAUAUAUAUGAAUACAUUUACAAAUUAGAUUCAGAGCAUAUAACAAAUCGAUGUUUGUUUGUGAAGUCCAAACUCCUCAAUGAGGAAGGUAAGAGGUGCAACAAUUCUUUGUUCAUUCGUUACAUUUUCAUACGUGCAUAAGUACAUGUCCAAUUAAACAUGUGAUAUAUUUUUAUGUGAAAGGGGACUGGCAUCAGUAUGAUGACAUCGUCUAUCUAUCCAAGGAUGGAUACAAACACAUAAAUCAGAAGAAUGUCGUCCGAGGCAGAGAGAUUGCAGGAACCAUCAUGCUAGACACAAUAUUUGAUCUCCUUCGGAAUUGGACUGACAUCAACUUGAAGAAUUUCUUCAUCCAAUUGAAACAGUUCUUUGACAUUUAUGGAAACCCAUUUGUGUAUGAGGAGGACACAUCGAAAAAGUGGAACUCUCUCAAAUUUGGAGAGAAGGAAGUAAGGACUUUUCUUCAUAUAUAUAUAUACAUAUAAAAAAAAUGCUAACAUUGUUUGCAGUAAGGAAUAUU
Molecule: long non-coding RNA, 2275 nt
Filed under: Gadus morhua (Atlantic cod)
Lineage: Eukaryota; Metazoa; Chordata; Actinopteri; Gadiformes; Gadidae
Description: lncRNA (ENSGMOG00000022611.1)
Source: RNAcentral